UCUAGAGUNUCGGAGAGGAAAGUGGAAUUCCUAGUGUAGCGGUGAAAUGCGUAGAUAUUAGGAAGAACACCAGUGGCGAAGGCGACUUUNUGGACGAAAACUGACGCUGAGGCGCGAAAGCCAGGGGAGCGAACGGGAUUAGAUACCCCGGUAGUCCUGNCCGUAAACGAUGGGUACUAGGUGUAGGAGGUAUCGACCCCUUCUGUGCCGGAGUUAACGCAAUAAGUACCCCGCCUGGGGAGUACGACCGCAAGGUUGAAACUCAAAGGAAUUGACGGGGGCCCGCACAAGCGGUGGAGUAUGUGGUUUAAUUCGACGCAACGCGAAGAACCUUACCAGGUCUUGACAUNNNUGGACAGAACCAGAGAUGGUUCCUCUUCUUCGGCAGCAGAAAACAGGUGGUGCACGGUUGUCGUCAGCUCGUGUCGUGAGAUGUUGGGUUAANNNNNNNANNNNGCGCAACCCCUAUCUUAUGUUGCCAGCACUUUGGGUGGGGACUCAUGAGAGACUGCCGCAGACAAUGCGGAGGAAGGCGGGGAUGACGUCAAAUCAUCAUGCCCCUUAUGACCUGGGCUACACACGUACUACAAUGGGAGUUAAUAGACGGAAGCGAGAUCGCGAGAUGGAGCAAACCCGAGAAACACUCUCUCAGUUCGGAUCGUAGGCUGCAACUCG
This 675-nucleotide ribosomal RNA is filed under the name uncultured bacterium. RNAcentral's name for it is "partial 16S ribosomal RNA". It matches the Rfam family "Bacterial small subunit ribosomal RNA", at positions 640 to 1314 of the family's 1533-position model. The record is from RNAcentral.